RNAcentral lists this long non-coding RNA (586 nucleotides) under Junco hyemalis (dark-eyed junco). Its description in RNAcentral is "lncRNA (ENSJHYG00000008847.1)". The record is from RNAcentral. Lineage: Eukaryota; Metazoa; Chordata; Aves; Passeriformes; Passerellidae.
GAGAAGGGCUCUUCAGAGCCUGCCCUCCCAGGCUGCAGGCUGGCAUGAAGACUGUAGGUUAGAUGAACCAAUGGAUUUGCUGCACCCUAAGCACAGGAACAACAAGCAUUCUUCUAUGUAAAUGAAUCAAAAAAGGAAAGAACACAAAAAGCAAUUCAGACAUCAAAGACACAAAGCUUCAGUGAGGAUGUUGCACUGGUCACAGAUAAAAUGUAUGAACACAACUGAUAAUUUCACUGGAAAUUGCAGCUAUCCACAUUUCUUCAAAAUGUGACCUUCCUUUUACCCCAGUUCUCUGCAAUUGUUUGGAAAAUCAAUGGCAAGUUUACAAUAACCAGCAUGAAGCUUUACACACUGUGGAGAAGAAAACAUUUUGAUAAGCAAAUGGAUUUCAAUGUCAGCCUUCUAAGCAGUUGCUACAGACAAAUGAUUUGAAAGAUUAUUGAAAAUAUACUGUCUUUUUAGAAAGUUACUUUUCUUCCCAUGCAAGGCACAGGAAAUCGAAUCAGCUGCAGUACUGAAUCAACUGUACUGUCAUUGAAAUGUGUGAUCCUGUAGUAAAAUAAAAUCAGUGUCCAACUGUUCA